AUUGAACGCUGGCGGCAGGCCUAACACAUGCAAGUCGAGCGGAUGAAGGGAGCUUGCUCCUGGAUUCAGCGGCGGACGGGUGAGUAAUGCCUAGGAAUCUGCCUGGUCGUGGGGGAUAACGUCCGGAAACGGGCGCUAAUACCGCAUACGUCCUGAGGGAGAAAGUGGGGGAUCUUCGGACCUCACGCUAUCAGAUGAGCCUAGGUCGGAUUAGCUAGUUGAUGGGGUAAAGGCCUACCAAGGCGACGAUCCGUAACUGGUCUGAGAGGAUGAUCAGUCACACUGGAGCUGAGACACGGUCCAGACUCCUACGGGAGGCAGCAGUGGGGAAUAUUGGACAAUGGGCGAAAGCCUGAUCCAGCCAUGCCGCGUGUGUGAAGAAGGUCUUCGGAUUGUAAAGCACUGUAAGUUGGGAGGAAGGGCAGUAAGUUAAUACCUUGCUGUUUUGACGUUACCAACAGAAUAAGCACCGGCUAACUUCGUG
RNAcentral lists this ribosomal RNA (484 nucleotides) under uncultured bacterium. RNAcentral's name for it is "partial 16S ribosomal RNA". It matches the Rfam family "Bacterial small subunit ribosomal RNA", at positions 30 to 507 of the family's 1533-position model. The record is from RNAcentral.